GGUUGAGCCUGGCCGAACCUCCUCGUGGAGGACGGGGGACCCACCAUCCCUGGGGCGAAUCGCGACAAGCGACGGCGGACCCAACGCCGAGCCCGACAGCUCACCUCGCAGGCCGAACGGGCUGCUUCG
This 129-nucleotide small RNA is filed under the name Chloroflexota bacterium. RNAcentral's name for it is "Chloroflexi bacterium c-di-AMP sequence". It matches the Rfam family "c-di-AMP riboswitch aptamer (ydaO/yuaA leader)". From Rfam's summary of the family: This family represents a conserved RNA structure found upstream of the ydaO and yuaA genes in Bacillus subtilis and related genes in other bacteria. The ydaO/yuaA element is thought to act as a genetic "off" switch for the ydaO and yuaA genes in its native state. It is believed that the element may be triggered during osmotic shock leading to activation of ydaO, a predicted amino acid transporter gene, and members of the yuaA-yubG operon which code for KtrA and KtrB K+ transporters. Lineage: Bacteria; Bacillati; Chloroflexota. The record is from RNAcentral.